This 497-nucleotide ribosomal RNA is filed under the name uncultured bacterium. RNAcentral's name for it is "partial 16S ribosomal RNA". It matches the Rfam family "Bacterial small subunit ribosomal RNA", at positions 28 to 507 of the family's 1533-position model. The record is from RNAcentral.
GAUGAACGCUGGCGGCGUGCCUAAUACAUGCAAGUCGAGCGAACAGACGAGGAGCUUGCCCCUCUGACGUUAGCGGCGGACGGGUGAGUAACACGUGGAUAACCUACCUAUAAGACUGGGAUAACUUCGGGAAACCGGAGCUAAUACCGGAUAAUAUAUUGAACCGCAUGGUUCAAUAGUGAAAGACGGUUUUGCUGUCACUUAUAGAUGGAUCCGCGCCGCAUUAGCUAGUUGGUAAGGUAACGGCUUACCAAGGCGACGAUGCGUAGCCGACCUGAGAGGGUGAUCGGCCACACUGGAACUGAGACACGGUCCAGACUCCUACGGGAGGCAGCAGUAGGGAAUCUUCCGCAAUGGGCGAAAGCCUGACGGAGCAACGCCGCGUGAGUGAUGAAGGCCUUCGGAUCGUAAAACUCUGUUAUUAGGGAAGAACAAAUGUGUAAGUAACUAUGCACGUCUUGACGGUACCUAAUCAGAAAGCCACGGCUAACUACGUG